Molecule: ribosomal RNA, 466 nt
Filed under: uncultured bacterium
Lineage: Bacteria
Description: partial 16S ribosomal RNA
Rfam family: Bacterial small subunit ribosomal RNA
Source: RNAcentral
GACGAACGCUGGCGGCGUGCUUAACACAUGCAAGUCGAACGGAAAGGCCCUGCUUGCAGGGUACUCGAGUGGCGAACGGGUGAGUAACACGUGGGUGAUCUGCCCUGCACUUCGGGAUAAGCUUGGGAAACUGGGUCUAAUACCGGAUAGGAACCAUCUUUAGUGUGGUGGUUGGAAAGUUUUUUCGGUGUAGGAUGAGCUCGCGGCCUAUCAACUUGUUGGUGGGGUAAUGGCCUACCAAGGCGGCGACGGGUAGCCGGCCUGAGAGGGUGUACGGCCACAUUGGGACUGAGAUACGGCCCAGACUCCUACGGGAGGCAGCAGUGGGGAAUAUUGCACAAUGGGCGCAAGCCUGAUGCAGCGACGCCGCGUGGGGGAUGAAGGCCUUCGGGUUGUAAACUCCUUUCGCUAGGGACGAAGCUUUGUUGUGACGGUACCUAGAUAAGAAGCACCGGCUAACUACGUG